CCGCCUGUUCUCUGUUUAAACAAAUCAGAUUGUUCUUUCUCGCACAGAUUCUCCUUCGCCACCAAACCUCGCCUCGCCUCGCCUCGCCUCAGCAUCAACGUUGCCGUCCGCCGUUCUCGCCCUCCACUAUCAUCACCCUCUCUCCGUUGCCAUGGUGAUCUGAAGAACAGGAGCGUUCAGAUUGUCCCUCUUCGAUAUGUCGAAGGCUCUCGAGUUCGAAGAAGAAUCGAUUUUGAAGACUAUUAAGUUUCGAUAUGCGCUUCUCUCUAUUUGAUGUAGGGCUCUUAGAUCUGGAUGAGUUUAAUUUGGAUUUGACCGAUUGGGAUCUGGAUCUAGGGUUCUUCUACCAGGUAUGGGGUUCUAAUUUGGAUUUCAAGUUUGUUCAAAUCACUAGCACUAUUGUUUAUGGUUUCAAUUUAAUUGAUUUAGGAUCUUAGAUCCUAACUGAUUUUCAUUU
Molecule: non-coding RNA, 457 nt
Organism: Camellia sinensis
Lineage: Eukaryota; Viridiplantae; Streptophyta; Magnoliopsida; Ericales; Theaceae
Source: RefSeq, a predicted model, not a curated record